AUCCAGACUUUGAUUAUGGCUCAGGAUGAACGCUAGCUACAGGCUUAACGCAUGCAAGUCGAGGGGCAGCAUGAUUGAAGCUUGCUUCAAUUGAUGGCGACCGGCGCACGGGUGAGUAACACGUAUCCAACCUUCCGUACACCCAGGGAUAGCCUUUCGAAAGAAAGAUUAAUACCUGAUGGUAUCUUAAGCACACAUGUAAUUAAGAUUAAAGAUUUAUCGGUGUACGAUGGGGAUGCGUUCCAUUAGGUAGUAGGCGGGGUAACGGCCCACCUAGCCUACGAUGGAUAGGGGUUCUGAGAGGAAGGUCCCCCACAUUGGAACUGAGACACGGUCCAAAUUCCUACGGGAGGCAGCAGUGAGGAAUAUUGGUCAAUGGACGAGAGUCUGAACCAGCCAAGUAGCGUGAAGGAUGAAGGUCCUACGGAUUGUAAACUUCUUUUAUAAGGGAAUAAAACCUCCCACGUGUGGGAGCUUGUAUGUACCUUAUGAAUAAGCAUCGGCUAACUCCGUGCCAGCAGCCGCGGUAAUACGGAGGAUGCGAGCGUUAUCCGGAUUUAUUGGGUUUAAAGGGAGCGCAGACGGGUCGUUAAGUCAGCUGUGAAAGUUUGGGGCUCAACCUUAAAAUUGCAGUUGAUACUGGCGUCCUUGAGUGCGGUUGAGGUGUGCGGAAUUCGUGGUGUAGCGGUGAAAUGCUUAGAUAUCACGAAGAACUCCGAUUGCGAAGGCAGCACACUAAGCCGUAACUGACGUUCAUGCUCGAAAGUGUGGGUAUCAAACAGGAUUAGAUACCCUGGUAGUCCACACGGUAAACGAUGGAUACUCGCUGUUGGCGAUAUACGGUCAGCGGCUUAGCGAAGGCGUUAAGUAUCCCACCUGGGGAGUACGCCGGCAACGGUGCAACUCAAAUGAAUUGACGGA
Molecule: ribosomal RNA, 921 nt
Filed under: uncultured bacterium
Lineage: Bacteria
Also listed under: 1 other name
Description: bacterial SSU rRNA
Rfam family: Bacterial small subunit ribosomal RNA
Source: RNAcentral